UUACAGCCAUACCAUGUUAAAAUGCCUGUUCUGUACGAUCACUGAAGAUAAGCAACAUUGAGCUUGGUUAGUACCUAGAUGGGUGACUUUUUGGGAAUAUCAGGUGCUGUAAG
Non-coding RNA from Acanthosepion pharaonis, 113 nucleotides. NCBI's taxonomy places the organism in Eukaryota, Metazoa, Mollusca, Cephalopoda, Sepiida, Sepiidae. The record is from the annotation of a GenBank genome assembly.